AACGAACGCUGGCGGCAGGCCUAACACAUGCAAGUCGAGCGGACCUUUCGGGGUCAGCGGCGGACAGGUGAGUAACGCGUGGGAAUAUGCCCUUCUCUACGGAAUAGUCCUGGGAAACUGGGGGUAAUACCGUAUACGCCCUUUGGGGGAAAGAUUUAUCGGGGAAGGAUUAGCCCGCGUUGGAUUAGGUAGUUGGUGGGGUAAUGGCCUACCAAGCCGACGAUCCAUAGCUGGUUUGAGAGGAUGAUCAGCCACACUGGGACUGAGACACGGCCCAGACUCCUACGGGAGGCAGCAGUGGGGAAUCUUAGACAAUGGGGGCAACCCUGAUCUAGCCAUGCCGCGUGAGUGAUGAAGGCCUUAGGGUUGUAAAGCUCUUUCAGCUGGGAAGAUAAUGACGGUACCAGCAGAAGAAGCCCCGGCUAACUCCGUG
This 433-nucleotide ribosomal RNA is filed under the name uncultured bacterium. Its description in RNAcentral is "partial 16S ribosomal RNA". It matches the Rfam family "Bacterial small subunit ribosomal RNA", at positions 29 to 507 of the family's 1533-position model. The record is from RNAcentral.